Schistosoma rodhaini is the source of this 46-nucleotide non-coding RNA. Lineage: Eukaryota; Metazoa; Platyhelminthes; Trematoda; Strigeidida; Schistosomatidae. The record is from Rfam.
GCAUCGCUGAGGAGUCCCCGAAUAGGACGAAAUGGCCGUCCAGUGC